CCUACGGGAGGCAGCAGUGGGGGAUAUUGCACAAUGGGGGGAACCCUGAUGCAGCGACGCCGCGUGGGUGAAGAAGCGCCUCGGCGCGUAAAGCCCUGUCAGCAGGGAAGAAAAUGACGGUACCUGCAGAAGAAGCCCCGGCUAACUACGUGCCAGCAGCCGCGGUAAUAAGUAGGGGGCAAGCGGUAUCCGGAUUUACUGGGUGUAAAGGGGGCGCAGACGGCGAUGCAAGCCAGGAGUGAAAGCCCGGGGCCCAACCCCGGGACUGCUCUUGGAACUGCGUGGCUGGAGUGCAGGAGGGGCAGGCGGAAUUCCUGGUGUAGCGGUGAAAUGCGUAGAUAUCAGGAGGAACACCGGUGGCGAAGGCGGCCUGCUGGACUGCAACUGACGUUGAGGCCCGAAAGCGUGGGGAGCAAACAGGAUUAGAUACCCUUGUAGUC
Molecule: ribosomal RNA, 440 nt
Filed under: uncultured bacterium
Lineage: Bacteria
Description: partial 16S ribosomal RNA
Rfam family: Bacterial small subunit ribosomal RNA
Source: RNAcentral